This 240-nucleotide ribosomal RNA is filed under the name Triticum aestivum (bread wheat). Its description in RNAcentral is "partial small subunit ribosomal RNA". The record is from RNAcentral. Lineage: Eukaryota; Viridiplantae; Streptophyta; Magnoliopsida; Poales; Poaceae.
AUGACGACUAGGAACGGACAAAUCAAGAAUUUCACUUCGAAUUCCGGACCUCAACAUCCUGCUGCUCAUGGUGUUUCACGAUCAGUAUUGGAAAUGAACGGAGAAGUGGUGGAACAUGUGGAACCACAUAUUGGGAUUUUCAGGGGGGUCCGGCCGGCCGGCGCCCACCCGACUAGAGGGACUAAGAAAUUAAUCGAGUACAAAACUUAUCUUCAAGCUUUACCUCAUUUGAUCGUUUAG